This 659-nucleotide ribosomal RNA is filed under the name Salmonella enterica. RNAcentral describes it as "partial 23S ribosomal RNA". It matches the Rfam family "Bacterial large subunit ribosomal RNA", at positions 1099 to 1757 of the family's 2925-position model. Lineage: Bacteria; Pseudomonadati; Pseudomonadota; Gammaproteobacteria; Enterobacterales; Enterobacteriaceae. The record is from RNAcentral.
UGUUGGCUUAGAAGCAGCCAUCAUUUAAAGAAAGCGUAAUAGCUCACUGGUCGAGUCGGCCUGCGCGGAAGAUGUAACGGGGCUAAACCAUGCACCGAAGCUGCGGCAGCGACACUCAGGUGUUGUUGGGUAGGGGAGCGUUCUGUAAGCCUGUGAAGGUGUGUCGUGAGGCAUGCUGGAGGUAUCAGAAGUGCGAAUGCUGACAUAAGUAACGAUAAAGCGGGUGAAAAGCCCGCUCGCCGGAAGACCAAGGGUUCCUGUCCAACGUUAAUCGGGGCAGGGUGAGUCGACCCCUAAGGCGAGGCCGAAAGGCGUAGUCGAUGGGAAACGGGUUAAUAUUCCCGUACUUGGUGUUACUGCGAAGGGGGGACGGAGAAGGCUAUGUUGGCCGGGCGACGGUUGUCCCGGUUUAAGCGUGUAGGUGUGUGUUCCAGGUAAAUCCGGUUCACUUUAACACUGAGGCGUGAUGACGAGGCACUACGGUGCUGAAGCAACAAAUGCCCUGCUUCCAGGAAAAGCCUCUAAGCAUCAGGUAACAUCAAAUCGUACCCCAAACCGACACAGGUGGUCAGGUAGAGAAUACCAAGGCGCUUGAGAGAACUCGGGUGAAGGAACUAGGCAAAAUGGUGCCGUAACUUCGGGAGAAGGCACGCUGACAC